UACGUAGGGAGCGAGCGUUGUCCGGAUUUACUGGGUGUAAAGGGUGCGUAGGCGGGACUGCAAGUCAGACGUGAAAUACCGAGGCUUAACUUCGGGGCUGCGUUUGAAACUGUGGUUCUUGAGUGAAGUAGAGGCAGGCGGAAUUCCUAGUGUAGCGGUGAAAUGCGUAGAUAUUAGGAGGAACACCAGUGGCGAAGGCGGCCUGCUGGGCUUUAACUGACGCUGAUGCACGAAAGCAUGGGGAGCAAACAGGAUUAGAUACCCUGGUAGUCCAUGCCGUAAACGAUGAUAGCUAGGUGUGGGGGGACUGACCCCUUCCGUGCCGGAGUAAACACAAUAAGCUAUCCACCUGGGGAGUACGACCGCAAGGUUGAAACUCAAAGGAAUUGACGGGGGCCCGCACAAGCAGUGGAGUAUGUGGUUUAAUUCGAAGCAACGCGAAGAACCUUACCAGGUCUUGACAUCCAACUAACGAAGCAGAGAUGCAUUAGGUGCCCUUCGGGGAAAGUUGAGACAGGUGGUGCAUGGUUGUCGUCAGCUCGUGUCGUGAGAUGUUGGGUUAAGUCCCGCAACGAGCGCAACCCUUGUCAUUAGUUGCUACGCAAGAGCACUCUAAUGAGACUGCCGUUGACAAAACGGAGGAAGGUGGGGACGACGUCAAAUCAUCAUGCCCCUUAUGACCUGGGCUACACACGUACUACAAUGGCCGUUAACAGAGGGAAGCAAGACCGCGAGGUGGAGCAAAACCCUAAAAACGGUCUCAGUUCAGAUUGCAGGCUGCAACUCGCCUGCAUGAAGGUGGAAUUGCUAGUAAUCGCGGAUCAUAAUGCCGCGGUGAAUACGUUCCCGGGCCUUGUACACACCGCCCGUCACACCAUGGGAGCCGGUAAUACCCGAAGUCAGUAGCCUAACCGCAAGGAGGGCGCUGCCGAAGGUAGGAUUGGCGACUGGGGUG
RNAcentral lists this ribosomal RNA (955 nucleotides) under uncultured Clostridium sp. RNAcentral's name for it is "bacterial SSU rRNA". It matches the Rfam family "Bacterial small subunit ribosomal RNA", at positions 524 to 1482 of the family's 1533-position model. The record is from RNAcentral. Lineage: Bacteria; Bacillati; Bacillota; Clostridia; Eubacteriales; Clostridiaceae.